This 489-nucleotide long non-coding RNA is filed under the name Mytilus galloprovincialis (Mediterranean mussel). Lineage: Eukaryota; Metazoa; Mollusca; Bivalvia; Mytilida; Mytilidae. The record is from RNAcentral.
GCCGCCCGCCCGACAUCCCCAAAUCAAUUACCGAUAUUUUUGUCACAAAAAUCCUGUUAAAAACGACAAAAUUUAUUUAAAUAUUACCAAUUGGGGGCAGCAACCCAACAACCGGUUGUCCAAUUCAUCGGAAAAUUUCAGGGCAGAUAGGUAUUGACCUGAUAAACAAUUUAACCCAUUGUCAGAUUUGCUCUAAAUGCUUUGGUUUCAGAGUUAUAAGCCAAAUACUACAUUUUCCCCUAUGUUCUAUUUCUAGCCAUGGCGGCCAUCUUGGUUGGUUGGCCGGGUCACAGGACUCAAUUUUUUAAACUAGAAACCCCAAUGAUGAUUGUGGCCAAGUUUGGUUAAAUUUGACCCAGUAGUUUCUGAGGAGAAGAUUUUUGUAAAAGGCCUUCGGGCCAGGUGAGCUAAAAAAGUGCUGAAAAAUUAUUAUUUGAGUUAAUUUUUAAGUCCAACAACCAUAACUCUGCACAAAAUCGGAAAUUGAUC